AUGGAGGAGCCGAUGCCCAGACUCACCCACGACCUAAUGGCGGAGAUCCUCUCUCGCGUUCCCUACAAAUCUCUCUGCAUCUGCAAGUGCGUCUGCCCGGCCUGGCGCCACCUCAUCGCCGACCCCGUCUACAGGAAGAAGAUUGUGCAGUCCCUGUCCGGCUUCUUCUACCACACCACCGCCAAACGCGAGGCCGACUCUGCCGAGCCCCGCGGCUUGGCCGUCAACUACGCCGAUCUGUCGGCCUCCCCUUGGGCGAGCGUCCCCAGGACCUACCCGCGCCUGCCACUGCCGCCUGACAGCACGGAGUGUUUCUUCACUCUCGAGGAUUCCUGCGAUGGGCUGUUUCUUACCCGCAUUCGGACGGGCACCCCGGAGCUACAGUUUCGCUACAUGGUCUCCAAUCCAGCUACCAGACAACUGUUUUAUAUCAACUCUGACGACCGUGAAGAAGGAUAUGGCUCGCCCCCAUUUUCAACUGUAUCUGUCUACGUUCUAGUAGUGGGAUUUAUAACUGGGAUGUGUCUCAUUUGGAUGACGGAUGCACGCAUUGGAUAUUGUUGCACAAGCUUUCAAAUGUGA
RNAcentral lists this ribosomal RNA (582 nucleotides) under Triticum aestivum (bread wheat). Its description in RNAcentral is "partial small subunit ribosomal RNA". Lineage: Eukaryota; Viridiplantae; Streptophyta; Magnoliopsida; Poales; Poaceae. The record is from RNAcentral.